GACAGAGGUUGCAAGCGUUGUUCGGAAUUACUGGGCAUAAAGCGCACGUAGGCGGUCCGCUAAGUCAUGUGUGAAAUCCCCCGGCUCAACCGGGGAAUGGCGCCUGAUACUGGCGGACUCGAGAUCGGUAGGGGUGAGUGGAACUCCAGGUGGAGCGGUGAAAUGCGUGGAUAUCUGGAGGAACACCGGUGGCGAAAGCGACUCACUGGACCGACACUGACGCUGAGGUGCGAAAGCUAGGGUAGCAAACGGG
RNAcentral lists this ribosomal RNA (253 nucleotides) under uncultured bacterium. RNAcentral's name for it is "partial 16S ribosomal RNA". It matches the Rfam family "Bacterial small subunit ribosomal RNA", at positions 524 to 776 of the family's 1533-position model. The record is from RNAcentral.